RNAcentral lists this ribosomal RNA (272 nucleotides) under uncultured bacterium. Its description in RNAcentral is "partial 16S ribosomal RNA". It matches the Rfam family "Bacterial small subunit ribosomal RNA", at positions 524 to 794 of the family's 1533-position model. The record is from RNAcentral.
UACGUAGAGUACAAGCGUUAUCCGGAUUUAUUGGGCGUAAAGCGUAUCGCAGGUGGGUAUGUGCGUGGUAGGUGUAAGACCAAGGCUCAACUUUGGGAACGCUUAUCAUACGGCAUAUCUUGAGUCUGUUGGAGGGAACUGGAAUUCUUCGUGGAGGGGUGAAAUCCGUAGAUACGAAGAGGAACGCCAAGGGUGAAGACAAGUUCCUACGGCAGCACUGACACUCAUGAACGACAGCUAGGGGAGCAAAAGGGAUUAGAUACCCGGGUAGU